Eleginops maclovinus (Patagonian blennie) is the source of this 1507-nucleotide long non-coding RNA. RefSeq lists it as uncharacterized. Lineage: Eukaryota; Metazoa; Chordata; Actinopteri; Perciformes; Eleginopidae. The transcript is spliced from 4 exons. The record is from RefSeq and is a predicted model, not a curated record.
UUUUUUACUGUUUUUAUUUUGAUAUACCCUAUUCCGUACGGUGGCCCUGAGAGGCCAGGGUGCUGCAAAUUAAAAAAACCGCUGCAAAUAAAAAGAAACACCGCGAUGCAGAUAAACAAAGCAAUGACGCAAAUAAAAAAGCGGAAGAGACUGUUACUGCCGAUGCGCAUGCGUUUUUUUAUGCGAGAGAAGAAGAAGGCAGGGGGAUCUCCAGGAAACAUCUCAUGGUGGAGAUCCUUCAUGACUUGACGAUACGGAACAGUGCCAUGUGGCAGACUGCUGGGUGCUUCAGACAUGUCAGGUCAUGUGAAGGGAAAAAAAAAUCAUUGUAGAGGAGUACCUGAAGUGGUACAUUAUCCACAGGAACAACACUGCAAUCGAAAGAUUCAAGGCUGGACUUGAAAGUUUGCUGUUUCUGACAGCUCUGCAGCAGCAUCCGACGGUCCUGACCCCUGCUCUCUGUCAUGCCGAUGUGAAGCUGUCUGCUGCAGAGAUGGAAAAUCUGUUUCAGCCUGAACUUAGUCAACAGGGAAGCAACAGAAGGGCUCAGGAAGAGAAAGCUAUGAGUUACUGGGCAGACUAUGUUCUCGAUUCUGAAGAAAAUGACAGUUCAGUGACCUUGGAGGAGGUGUUAAUGUUCACUACAGGUGUGCCAUGUGUGCCUCCUGCUUGUAUGAGUCCUCUGCCACGCCUUCAGUUCCUAUCUUCUACAACGUCAACAUUCCCAAUGGCAAAUGCCUGUGCCAACAUUUUAAAGCUUCCUCUUUUGGACACUUAUGGUGCCUUCAAAGCCAACAUGAACUUUGGCAUUAAGAAUUUCCCCGGCUUUGGGUGCCUCUAAACAAUUAAAUAACUUGUGGUUAAAGUUAAUGUUGCCGCUCACAGUACACAGUCAGUAGUUUUAAUGUUGCGGUGUGUCAGACCUAAAUGUUGUGACAUAAGAGAGAUGUGUGAGAGUUUUUCAUGGCAGUUUUGUCAUAUUUCAUAUAUAACAUAUGAACAACACCACACAUUUGUAUUGUGUUGUUCUCGUCAGGUAAACCAUGGUUAAGUCAAGAGUUCAGAACAUGUGUUAAGAAGAUGUUUUACAAAUAUUUACAUAAACAGUAAAUAAAGACUGCAAAAGGCGCCUUGUAGUGCAAAUGUGCCAAUUCUGUUUUGGCCAUUUUAUCAACAUGUUUUUACAUGGACUUUGUUAAAGAGCAAAGCUGAAUGACUCUUCAUUAAAUGGUUUGAGAGUGUUUCAUUUUAACGUAAGGACUUGUUUUUCUACGUAUAGCAUAUAUGUUACCAGUGUUGGGAAGGAUACUUUCAAAACGUAUUCCGUUACAGAAUACAGAAUACAUGCCCAAAAAUGUAAUUUGUAACGUAUUCCGUUACAUUAGUCAAUCUGAGUAACGUAUUCUGAAUACUUGGAUUACUUCCACAUUGAAUUGCAUUUUAUACGUGUAGGAAUAUGCCCAUCAAAUCCUGCUUACUAAACAGCCCUAUUCUGGUGUGUUCUUCU